Molecule: unclassified non-coding RNA, 3005 nt
Filed under: Leishmania donovani
Lineage: Eukaryota; Euglenozoa; Kinetoplastea; Trypanosomatida; Trypanosomatidae
Description: gene:LdHU3.18.0680(CDS-product:hypothetical_prote in_conserved)
Source: RNAcentral
AAGCUCGCAUAAAUCACUACACGGCCAGCCUUUUUUUUUUCUUUUAAAAGGCAGCGGCACAUAGAGCUUAUAGUACACACCUUCUACCAUAGAGGCGUGCCUGGCGUUUCCCUGGCGCAGUAAAAAGAACAUAUCUGCUUCAUUCAGCGCUGAGAAGCAGAGACUGGCGAGAUCCGAAGAGGAAGUCGAGUUUCGCAAGGUACGCCUUGCUGGACGAAAAAUGCAGGAACCCACCAGCCCCAGCGAUGGCGAGCUGCGAGAGAUCCAGUAUCGCAAGCAUCUCUCAUUGAAUCACACGCUGAAGAUUGUCAUUCGCAAUAGCAUCUACGCCGCCAUUGGACGCGUUCUCAUGGGAGUUGUGAAAGCCUUAGUGAAGCAUGGUGUCUCCAGAGCGUUCUUAGUCCGCGUACCGUCUGAAUUCCUCUCGCUGGAUCCUUUGAAAUGGGCGGCCGUCUUCGGCGGCUUCUCGAGCUUCCGUUUCUGCCUGCAGACACUGCUUCGCAUCCUCACGCCAUUCGGAGUCUCGGAGAAGUUUGUGUCGCUGCUGGCGGGCUGCACUAGCGCCACGCCUGCGUUUGUCAUGAACAAGGAGACGCGCACGGAGCUGUGCCUGUACCUGUUCGUCCGCAGCGCCCACACCUUCUCGCUGCGCUACCUUCUGCCACGCAUGCCAAAGAUCCUUCAGGAGUUCCACCACUACGACGUGGUGCUCAUGUGUCUGAGCUCGUCUCAAAUCGCCUACGGCUGUCUCUUCAACCCCAACACGUUGCCGAAGUCGUACCAAGGCUUCCUGAACCGCGCCUCUACCUUUCCAGAGAAGCUCAUCCGCGGCCAUUCUGGGUUCUGCCGCCAGCGUCUUCUCCCCGAUCUUGUAGACUACUGCUGGUCGAGGAAGCUUCCCCUGAUCGAGAACUUCGGCCAAAGCGGCGCCAACACCCUUUGCAAGGUGGCACACGGCGAUUACUCGUGCAACCUGUGGGCGAUGAUCUUCAUCUUUAAGAACAUCCUUACCAUGGGCGUGCCGCUUUACGGCCCGCUUCGAUUUGUGUCGAUGCUGGCGUUCCAACGCAGGCGUCUCAUGACGAACCCAGUUUCCACGAUCAUGCAAAACGUGCGCUCGAUGCUGAUUAGCGCCCUGUUUCUCGCCUUGUACACUGCAAUCAUUCUGCGCUCCGCCUGCUUUGGUGUGCAACACCGGGGCGGAGGCACGAAGACGGUGACGGCGCUGAGUUCCAUAGCUGGGCUGGCAACGCUGCUCGAGCCGAAGGGACGUCGCAUGGAUCUCGCCCUGUACUGCUCCAUGCACGCGCUUCGCUCUUUUCUGCUUACACAGAACCUGCGUGGUCGUCUGCCCUACCCGCGCCACUGGUUCGUGUGCACCGUAUAUCUGCUCUCCGUCGGCUUUCUCUGUUACCAGUACGAGGAGGAACCGAAGCUGUUGGACCGCCGCGUUCGCACGGCGCUGCGCCUUCUGCUAGACGAGCAGUCACCCGCGGCGUUGACAGAGAAGGAGACGUCGCCGCUUGCGAGCGCCGCCGCGUCCACGUACGACGGUGCGGAAGCGCCUGCAGAGUCUCGCUGCGGGCAAAGUCAGGGGAAAGCGAGUGCAAGUCGCCAACACCGUGUCCUUUGCGUCGAUGCGCCAAGAGCUGUAGACUUGCCAGAGGAGACGAGGGUGACGGAAGGAAUGGGGCAGCAGCGGCGACACUACAGACGCAGCGUCGCAGCUUUUCCUGCAACGAAGUUCAAGGAACAGCAGUAGUGAGGGACGAAAAGAGGGGUGGGCUGAGGAAGGGGGGUGGGUGCAACGAAGAGGCAGAAAGCUUAUGUAUGUGCGCGCGCGCGAGUAGAGCUUCCUUUGAUGGGACUCAGGUGACUGUUAAUGUACUGGAGACCAGCGCGGACUUAUGAGAAAGCUGUACGGUCUCCUCUUGUUUACCGUUGCUCAUGAGGUUACCUCUUUCGCUGUUGGUGCUCUGCUCUUCUCCAGCGCGACGCAGUGACAACACCCACCCCCCCUGCCUCCACAUUGCGUCUUUCUGAUGUCUCCCUCUCCCAGCUGCCUUGUUGUGGUUGUCGUUGCCGUGAUGGUGUGCUCCUCUGGACUUCGAGGAGCCGUCGUGCAAGCAGGCAAAUGAGGAAAACUAACCAAGCAAGGGCUUACUCCUUUCUUUCACCUUUGCUCUCUGUGCUUCUUUGCCUUUUCAGGUGCUUGCACAUGGUUUCUCCUAGGGCAUGUGUGUGUGUGUGUGUGCAUGUCUGGCUGAUCCUUUAUUUAGGUCUCUCUGUUGCUCUAUCGCGCUGCUGCGUCUGCACUACCUUUUUCUUUUAUUAUUAUUUUUUUGCUUUUCUGUCUCAUUAUUUUCUCUCCUAAUAUGCAUAUGUGGGGGAGGGGGCGCGCGUUUGUGUGGUAUUCUCUCGACGUUUUUUACGCUUUUUUUCGGGGGGAGAGGGGAGGGGGAAGGAGGAGGUGAGGUUCUGCAUCUCUGGAUGGUUGACUCGGCUUGCUUCUCCAACACCCUCCCGCUGUUUCUUUCUUACUGCAACUGCAACCACUACUAUGGUCACAGCCACCCCCUCUUCUGUCAACUCCCUCCCCCGUACGUGCUUGUGCGUGUCCGUUCGUUCCGGUAACUGUCAACAUAUGUGCAUGCACUCGUACGCCUGUGUGAGUUUCCGUCUUCCUUUUUCCUCCAUGCUAGUAUGUAUUUGUCUCUUCUCGUCCUGUGUAGUGGGCGUGGGUUGCGUCCGUCUUCUCGUCCUCGCCGUCCUCUUUUUUUCUGCUUUGCGCGGCAUCGUUUUCGUCGGUGCGACUUUCCAGGUCGGCGUCGUACGCAUGUGAACACAUCGACCUCGGGGAGACGGUGCGAGCAUGUCUUUGUGCUCAGGGAUUGCGCAGAAUGGGAAGAGGGAGAGGGAGAGGGGAGAGAGGAACUGGAGGAUGCUGAUUUGGCCUGCAACCCCUCUUGCUGUCGAACCUUGUGCGGCCCCCCUCCACCGCCACC